GGGAGAUCGAACCAGAGGUCAACUGCUGCUCGUCCGUUGCGCCAAACGUCCUCUGUGUGUGUUGCAACGUGGACAAAACAGACAGCAGGUGACAUCAUUACGGAGCUGCACGUGCCGAGGCCUUGACGAUUCAAUGGAGCGUCCCUGGCUCGGCGCGUUGUGAAGAUGUUUCGGGUGAUCGCGCUUGCAUGAGAGCAACCGGCCGAGUCCGCGUGUUCUCCACAAGGCCGUGCGUGACGUCAUUUAUGGCCGGCCCCCAAACUGCGGGUCAUCACAACCCGAUCGCGCCGCGAGCAGCAAACUCCGGGUGACGUUGGUUUCGCUGUGGAACCCGCGUCCUCUGCCGCCGAUCAAGAGGACAAAGCCCGGGGCGCACGGGCAAUACGAGCCACGCUCCCAACAUUAUCAUGACCCAGAAGGAGGGACAUGGCACUGUCCCAGGCCUAUACCCAUGGGUGGAAUAUGCGGGGGCGGGGGGGCACAGGUGGUAACGCCCCACCCAAACUAGACACCUUCAUUAAUAUAUUUUCAGUAGAGGGACUCCUUAAUUUACGAAUAUUCGACUCAUGAACUUUCAGAGAUGUGAACAAACCUGUCCCUACAGUAUGUCCAGUUGCCUGUUCGGGCCGAGAGUCGUAAGUUCAACCGCCGCGCAAUAGAUGGCGGUGGUGGCAUCUACAUUUGCAGAACGUGAAGCACCGGUGGCAUCUACAUCUACAGGAGAUUAUACAACUUUUAAAGCCAUUAAUUUUGGAGCUUUCGUGACUGCAGGAAUUAUUCUUUUGUUCUUUCGGUAAAGUCACGUCUAAAGAUAA
Lethenteron reissneri (Far Eastern brook lamprey) is the source of this 815-nucleotide long non-coding RNA. RefSeq lists it as uncharacterized. The record is from RefSeq and is a predicted model, not a curated record. NCBI's taxonomy places the organism in Eukaryota, Metazoa, Chordata, Hyperoartia, Petromyzontiformes, Petromyzontidae.